Molecule: small nucleolar RNA, 215 nt
Filed under: Dasypus novemcinctus (nine-banded armadillo)
Lineage: Eukaryota; Metazoa; Chordata; Mammalia; Cingulata; Dasypodidae
Description: Small nucleolar RNA U3 (ENSDNOG00000027470.2)
Rfam family: Small nucleolar RNA U3
About the family: Small nucleolar RNAs (snoRNAs) are involved in the processing and modification of rRNA in the nucleolus. There are two main classes of snoRNAs: the box C/D class, and the box H/ACA class. U3 snoRNA is a member of the box C/D class.
Source: RNAcentral
AAGACUAUACUUUCAGGGAUCAUUUUUAUAGUUUGUUACCAGAGAAGGUUAUCUGAAAAUGUAGGGCACUGAAAACCAUGAGGAAGAUGCACAACAUUCUCUCCUAAGCAUGAAACUGGCUCUAGGUGUUGCUUUCUUGCAACUGCCUACUGCCAUUUAUGAUCAUUUUUAUCUCCCAUCUUGGGGGAGUAAGAGAGAAAGGACAGGGUAGUGGA